Non-coding RNA from Oryza nivara, 202 nucleotides. Lineage: Eukaryota; Viridiplantae; Streptophyta; Magnoliopsida; Poales; Poaceae. The record is from Rfam.
AAAGAGUCAAACUCUGGAUUCCCGUGUCCAACGUUUGACUGUCUAUCUUAUAUAAAUUUUUUUAUAAUUAGUAUUUUCGUUGUUAUUAGAUGAUAAACAUGAUUAAUACUUUAUGCGUGACUUGUCUUUUUAAUUUUUUUCAUAAUUUUAAAUAAGACGGACGGUCAAACAUUGGACACGGAAACCCAGGGUUUGUCUUUUU